This 301-nucleotide ribosomal RNA is filed under the name uncultured bacterium. RNAcentral's name for it is "partial 16S ribosomal RNA". It matches the Rfam family "Bacterial small subunit ribosomal RNA", at positions 509 to 808 of the family's 1533-position model. The record is from RNAcentral.
CAGUAGCCGCGGUAAUACGUAGGUGGCAAGCGUUGUCCGGAAUUAUUGGGCGUAAAGCGCGCGCAGGCGGUUUCUUAAGUCUGAUGUGAAAGCCCCCGGCUUAACCGGGGAGGGUCAUUGGAAACUGGGAGACUUAGAGUGCAGAAGAGGAGAGUGGAAUUCCAUGUGUAGCGGUGAAAUGCGUAGAUAUAUGGAGGAACACCAGUGGCGAAGGCGACUUUCUGGUCUGUAACUGACGCUGAUGUGCGAAAGCGUGGGGAUCAAACAGGAUUAGAUACCCGUGUAGUCCCUGUCUCUUAUA